Long non-coding RNA from Conger conger (European conger), 998 nucleotides. RefSeq lists it as uncharacterized. Lineage: Eukaryota; Metazoa; Chordata; Actinopteri; Anguilliformes; Congridae. The transcript has 2 exons. The record is from RefSeq and is a predicted model, not a curated record.
AUAACACAACACUAAAAAAAAAAUACAAGGACAAUUCACGUUGGGGCAAAGAUGUGACUUCACGGAAGGGAGUAAAAAGGAAAAAGUGAAGAUUGCGAGAAGAGGACAGUUGUCAAAAACGGAUUUUGGUACUGAUGAAAGUUUGUCCAUGUCGUGGUCUUUUUAAAAGAUCCAUGUUCUUGCUUUCGAUAAACACUAAAGAAUCUCCGGGAGGUUUGUUUUUCUGUAUCUACAGGACCCGCUUGCUGUUAGUUGUAUCCGACCAAUCGGUCUCCGUUUUCGGCUACACGAUCAUCCAAGCCGUCGUAAAGGGAUACUCCUUUGCUCAUCGCAGUCGCUAUCGAAUAGAGACCCUACAAGAUGUUAAUCGUGGAGAAAAUCAAGAGAUCGCCUCUCCUUUAUGAAAAAAUCGAAGGAGGUGAAUUGAGUGAACUGGGUUUCCGGAUCUAAUGAUAAGGAUGCUAGCAGGACUGUUAGGCUACCGCAACAGCACUGGAUCCCCUUAGCCUGUCCUUGGAUUGUUAUGUCUAGGUCUCAUUUGGUCUUCGGCUCGGCGAAAGGUGGUCAACAGAAGCGAUGUAUUUCCACCGUGAUCUGUGGUUGCUAGCCCUCCGGGGAAACGAAACUGCGAGCACCAAGUGACGAAGCAGUGGGCUGGGAGUAUGGAUACGAACGGUACUGUCAAGAAGGGACUUAAGGAAAUAAACGGAAAAUAUAAUACUUUAUGCCUCCUGCUUAAUAAGGAAAGCUAAAGAUUCGGACGGUGUUCUAUACUAUUGUUUACGUUUAAGGAACCGGCUAUAUUUCAUAAGAACCGCGAAGAGGACUGUUUAACUAUUGAUUUCAACAGCUCGCAAGUUUUCCAAGGAUAUUUAAAAAACUGAACGGUACUUGACUAUUGCUAAUAUACUGUGAUUUUUUCUUCUUUGUUUCUUACUUGUUUUCUUUGAAAUGUUUUUAAAGAUGAAUAUGAAAAAGAUGGAUUUAUAUGAGUGAUA